AUGUAUCUUCGAGAGUGGUUUCAGUGAAGGGCUCAAAACCAGAGCUGAUCAUGUCUGUUCAAGAUAUCAACAUCCAGUCACAAUCUUUAAUUAAUGUCAGGGACUCUAACAAGGUAUCGUUCUAAGUUGUAAAUGAUGUGGUGGUCAUCUUGUUGGAUAUUUGCUGGACAAUAUGUAUCUUCGGUAUUGUAAUCAACAUCCAGGUUUGAUUACAUAUGGCUCUCCUGAGCAGGUUUGAUUUAUAUUUUUUUUAGACUGAAAGGGUCGGUUGCAGAUGUGAUAGGGCUAAGAGUCGAGGCUUUGUGCUCCUCUACUUUGAACGGCUAAACCCUUACAAUGUUUUGACUUUGGUGAAAAAGAACAACUGGACACACAUUUCUGAAUCUUCUUCAGUGGCUAAAAUGGUGAAAGAGUGCAGGCUGCAUAUAGAUGGUCCUCUCUCUCUCUGAUUUCCUAAAAUGGUGAAAGAGUGCAACAGAGUCAUUUCACUUUUAUAUAGCCUGCUCAUUUCAACAGUAACACACUUUAUAGCCACAUUAACACACUUUAUAGCCUGCUCUUCCCUUUUCUUUUAAAAACCGGUCAAACAAAUAACCCUCAAACAAACCAUUUUAACCCUUCAGGUGUCAUGCAUUUACACAUUAAACCCUUACUCUCUCUCACUUCCUUAUAAGAAGCACCUCCCCACAUUAACUCACUUUUACUCUUCCUCCACCUCCAUAAUUUGAGUCGAAACUCCCACUACACACACACACACACAAGUUCAAGCUGAAGCAAGUUAAGGUAGCUUGAACCUGUUUGAAACUGAAGCAAGUUAAGCUACAAGAUCAAGUUCCAAGUCCAAGUUCAGGCUCUUUAUUUUCUCUCAAAUCCUUCUCCUUGCUUGCUAAGGUGAAGCAUCCUCCUAAAACUCCCUUUUCUUUAAGUUUAGUGUAAAAAAUGUAGUAUAUUCUCAUAACUAAUUAACUGUAUUAGAAACGGUUAUGUUGGACAGUUAUAAGUUUUCUUGUUUUACCUUUUUAAUCAGUCUUGCAAGUUCAAAUUUGUAUUAAUUGUACAUGUCAUAGAUUGUGUUGUGUAUUUGUGGACGGUAAUAUUGGAAUGAAGCUACUAUAUAGCCUGCUGUUAUACU
Molecule: long non-coding RNA, 1132 nt
Filed under: Helianthus annuus (common sunflower)
Lineage: Eukaryota; Viridiplantae; Streptophyta; Magnoliopsida; Asterales; Asteraceae
Description: hypothetical non coding rna
Source: RNAcentral